AUGGCAGUGAUGUUGACAAGGAUAGAAUUGAGAAAUAAUGCAUAAGUAAGGGAAAGGGAGAGGAGAGAAGUGGGUAAAGUGAGGCAAUAUGCAAGCAGGAAGUGUUAGCUGAGAUGUGUGAAGAAGUUGCUCCCUAUUUUAUUUUUAUAUUUACAAGGAAAAGUUAAACCUGUAAGAGUUGUACAGAAUCUGAGGAAUGAGAAGUAAUUGGAUUUAAUCCAGGGAAGGGAAAGAUGCCUUCAGUUCCUUGGCUCAGAAUGUUCCUCACCAGCAUUGUCACCUCCUUCACUUGCAGGGGGUGCUCUUAGAUUGGUAAAAGCAGUACUUUCCCAUAACUGGUAGCGAGACCUAAUAAGGUUGUACUUUUUUAACAGCUUCUCUACAGAUGUGUUCAAGCCAUCAACAUGAGUCAUGAUGCGGUACAUGCACAGAUGGAUGUUAAACUACGCUCUUUAACAUGUUUGGGACUCAAUGAACAAGUUCUGCACUUGUGGCUGGAGGUGUUGUGUUCAAGUGCAGAUGUGGUGGAACGCUGGUAUCAACCAUGGUCCUUCCUCAGAUCGCCAGGCUGGGUGCAGAUCAAAUGUGAACUUAGAGUGUUAGCUCAAUUCCCAUUUACUCUAAAUCCAGAUUGGGAACUACCACCACCCCCAAACCAAGACCAGCGACCAUUGCGAGAAGGUGUGCGUGACAUGCUUGUCAAACACCAUCUCUUCUCAUGGGAUCUAUAGUGACAUUAACGAGUUGCAGUGUGAGUAGAAUAUCUGAACUGAUAUUGGAAUCUCAAGAAUAACUCCCUGUAAAUUUUUUAGUCUAACAAGAAGGUAGUACACAUUUAAUUUUAGACACUUUUGUAAUAUGGUAAGACAACAAAACAUUGCAAAAUAUGAUUUGGAUAUAAAGUUAGACAUUACUUUCAAGUUAUUUGAAAAAAAUUUUUUGCAUUGCAAAAGCAGUGUCAUGCCAUGCAUGUCUAACUUGGUCAGUUUCCCUUACUAUUUCAAUUAAACUCUGAAGCCCCUUUCAAAAAACUGUCAUGAAAAGUUUCUUAACAGUUGACAAUGUUUAUUUGUAUUAAUAUUUUUUGUAGGUACAAUAUACAGGAUUUUUUUUAUUUUUGUAUCUAAUUUUUCAGAUCGUGUGGUGAUACUUUUUAUAGAAUCUGAUGUAAAGCGAUGGUCUGGGUUACUGAUUUUUUUUUUUUUUAAAUCCACAUACACUGAGGCAAGUUCUUUGCUCCAGGUGUCUGCCUGCUUUGUAAGAAUUGCAUUUGUGAUAAACAACAAUGUUAAGAUAAAUAUAUUCUGUAUUAGGCUAUAUUUAGUAAAGCCAUUCUUGAAGUGAUAGAAUCUGACCUUUGAGACUGCAUUGUAGCUCAUGAAUAAAUAUAAAUGUUACAUAUUAGCCAACUGGAUAAUACAAACAGUUGUUUUGGAUAUUGGGUAUAACCAUUGUAAUUCCCUCCAUGUCCUGCAACCACUUUGGUACAUUCAUAACUUCAAAUGGGUGGACUGCAGUAGUCCUUCCAUAGCUUUCAGUAUUGGUAAUGCUGACAAGAACAUGGAAAAAUUGAGUGUUUGGGGAGUUUGAAGUACUGUAGAGAUCUGUCUAAAGUAAAAUUAUGUCAUUAUCAGUACUCUGCUAGUAUUCUCUGCUUUAAAAGCAGAUAUGAAUCUGUGAGUUUUAGAUUUAUGAAAAAGCUGCAUGCACAGUGAAUCAAGACCACCACCACAGUACUGGGGUUGCUACUGAAAGAUAGAACUGGGCAUGUAAAGUACUGCUGACAGAACAUUUUUUUGACUAUUAAAAUAUGCCAUUGUUGACCUAGCUCAGUAAUACAACAAUCCCUUGAUAAAAUGUGCUUUUAAAAUGGGUAAAAUCCACUGGGUAAAUUUUUUAACUAAAUUUUCAAUGUUUAUUGUGUACAAUCCUAUAUUAGGUAUACAGUAGAGUACUUAAAUGCUUUUCAUUUUGCUAUUUUUAUAUAUUCUAUUAGUCCAUUAUAUCUAGGGCUUACUGUACAGUAGGGCUCUGCUUUACAGCGUUUCGCCUUGGCGUUCCGCUAAUGGGGCUAUUUCAAAUUAUGACCAAAACUUUGUAUUUAUGACCCAUGAGAAGUGACUUCAUCCCAUGGUCAGCUGUUGAAUAAUAAUUUUUUUUACCACUAGCCAUCUCCCACUGAGGCAGGGUGACCUGAAAAAGAUGAAAUAUUUUCAUAAAGAAAUAAUGUUAUGUAUACAUACAAUGGUACCUCAAGUUAUGAACUUGAUUCAUUCCAGAAGGCUGUUAAAGUGCUGAUACCGAACGAAUUUUCUUCCCAUAAGGAAUAAUGUAAAUUAGAUUAGUCUGUUUCAGACCCCCAAAAAUACACUUAAAUAAUUUUUCGAUUUGGGAGCUGUUCGAAAUUCGAGGUACCAUUGUAUUAGAAUUAUUUAGAGAAAGUGCUAGACCAUAACGAUCAUACAGCAUCGCUUGGCACGUAAGUAAAUAAAUGGUGGGGGUGUGCAGUGGUGGUAUUGAAGAAAGGGUAUUAGCUCAAUGAAUAUGGAUUAUAAUUGAUAAAGAAAAUAGUAUUGAUGUAGAAACCACAGAAUCUACAGCAAAAGUUGGACCAUCUGUGAGAAGGGCAACUAAAGCAAAUAUGUCACAUCAUUGAAUGUGUCUGUAUGGUCAUCUACAAGUUUGGCCAGGCAUGUCAACACCUUAGACUUAACUAUCAUACUCAAAUGGUAGUUACAAUGGUUGGCUAUGGGCAAGGCUAAUUGGUGCCAGAAAAUGUAUUCUACAACCAGUAUAGGUAAGUGAAAAUUAUUAUGGUCAAUAGUAGUAUGAAAACCCAAGCUUGCAUCCCCGGUACUUGUUACACAAGUACUGGGGACCAACUUGGUGUCCUUUGCAGUUGCAAGUCUACAAUUGUGAACUUAGUGCAAGUAUAGCGGUUUGGCCCCUGGUAUUAUAGUAAAUCGUAUUUUGAGAUUCUCAUUUUUAAGAACUAACAAUAUUCAUUGUAUCUUAACACAAUAUUCACAGGCUUACUGGUCCUUCGGUAAGUGUGUCAUAUCAUCAAAACUUAAUUAACAGGUCAUAAUAUGACUUCAAGACCCAUGUCCGGAAACAAUUGCCCCAUUUCCUGACAAAUCACCACAGUUGUGUGUACAAUUAAUUUUGUCUUCCUGUCAAAGUCAGUAUAACUUCUAGCUUUGAACCUCACAGUGCAAUUCUUUAGAUAUGGCAAAAAGCAACUUGGUGUACAAAUGAUAGUUUUAACAUCUGGAGAAGACAACUGAUUUUGUCUUUUAAGAUACAGAAGAGCAUGUAGGUGGCUCAGAGUGUUAGGUAUAUGGGGUAUAGAACGAGCCAAAUAAUUUAGAUACGGUUGCCUGAAGGCUACUCAGGGUCAAUUUCAUCUUGUUACCAUAAUUUUCAGAAAGGUAAUAUAAGAAAAUACAUUUCCAUAAAACAUACUUGGGCAAAAACAUUUUAUGAAUAUCACCACCACCAUUGCCCUAUUUACCAUUUUCGUGGGGCAGAUAAAUAUCUGCUAAGAAAUUGAAAUUUAUAGAUAAGAUGGUUAAAGAUUUAGAGAUCAAAACGUCCAAGCUGUUAUACACCCUUCCACGCACUUCAGCACCACAACAUGAACUAUCACACUUGCAAAAUAUCUAUGCUAGUAUUUCAGCCAUAUUAUUUACUAAGUGUCAAGUAAUAUACAUGGCUUGUCAUAAAAUAAAUUACCAUUCAUUCCCUCCUAACAAAUGGCUUCCACAAAUUCAUGGUCAUUGGCACUUCAUUUGCAUAGGAUGUAUUUGCACGCUCACCAUAUAUAUUAACGUUUCCUUCUCUGGCCCUCAUUAUUAUAUUGAAGAGAAAGCGCUGAACUUGUAGGAGUCAUACAGUGCCUGGGGAAUGGGAAGUAACCAGGUUUGAUCAAAAAAAAAAAAAAAGCAGGGAGGGGUAGCUUUCCUGUUUGUUUUUGCAAUUUAUCAUUACUUGUAUUAU
Non-coding RNA from Cherax quadricarinatus, 3999 nucleotides. The record is from RefSeq and is a predicted model, not a curated record. NCBI's taxonomy places the organism in Eukaryota, Metazoa, Arthropoda, Malacostraca, Decapoda, Parastacidae.